This is a non-coding RNA of Onthophagus taurus, 1227 nucleotides long. The record is from RefSeq and is a predicted model, not a curated record. NCBI's taxonomy places the organism in Eukaryota, Metazoa, Arthropoda, Insecta, Coleoptera, Scarabaeidae.
AUAAUAAGAUGUGAUAAAGUUCAAAACGAUGUUCAUAUUCGUAUUAAUUCAAACUUGUCUUGUAACGUUGGGUUCAAUAAAAUUCAAUCACCAAAUUUUCAUUAGGGUUACAAUGGUUUUAAUUCCAUUCAUUCAUAGUUUCAAAAAAUUUUUUAAUGCACAGCAACCAUUAAGGAUAUAAAAAGAUUCGCUCAAUUUUGUUGGAACUAUCCAGGUCAUGAUGCUAUUAGUGUGAUGAAUGCUCCAGCAAGGCAUGGACCAGAUCAAUAUGAAAAUGCAUUAAAAGGAGGGCAAGUGUAUGGUUAAAAUAUGAAAAAUCUUUUGAAAUAAAUUAUAUUUUGGUCAUUAUUUAAAUAAAUUAGGAAAUUACAUCACACGUUGUGUUUCACACGUUAUUCGGUUGAUGGUAUAUGUCAUCUGUUGGUGCAGGAAAUAUGGUGUUUAUAGGUGGUAUAAUGAUUAAAGAAUAUUAUCUUGAUAUUUUACAAAACUGUUUAUUGGAAAGCCUUAGAAAUGUUGGGAUUGUUAGAACAUUUAUGUUCCAACAAGAUUGGAUCCGCAGAAAUUGAUUGCUUGUGGCUGUUAUAAUAUGUUUCCCAUCAAUUACAGAACCCUAGUCACCAGGACUCAAUCCCAUCGAAUAUAGGAUGAAACAAAUUUAAGAACACCCCAUGAUAUAUUGAAAUGAGUUGAAAACGAGCAUAAGACAUGAAUGGAGCAAAACAGAUCCUGCUAUAAGAGAGACUUUUUAUAAAUAAAACUUUUUUUCGAUAUUUAUAUAUUUCAAAAACACAAUUUAUACAAGUUUUUCAUCGCCUUGGAGCUGUAUCUUCUUGCAUUUUUUCAUAAAAAUUAUAAAAUUGAAUGUUUACUGAGACUUUGUUGAAGUAGUGCAUCUGCUGGAUACAUGCACGAAUAAAGAAAGAUUUAAAAAACUGCCAUUUCUUCUUCUAUUUGUGCCAUCUCCGCUAUCGAAGGUUAACGAUCACGUCCGCAAAGGUCUCUCGAUCUACAAAUCAGCAAGAUGUAUAGAAGGCUGUAGCAUUAAAUUAUCGUAUUUCGAGUCAGUUCUGAAAUUUUCCAUUCUCUCUUUCUCACUCCGUAUACAUUAUAUAACUUUAAAUUUUUAUUAAUAUGUUUGAAUUCAGAUCAUGACAUCAGCUCGAAGUUUAAUUCUACUCAUUCUUGGUUUAUUGAAAACAACCGGAAAUGUGUUGCUACAAUAGG